This is a long non-coding RNA of Oncorhynchus tshawytscha (Chinook salmon), 853 nucleotides long. NCBI's taxonomy places the organism in Eukaryota, Metazoa, Chordata, Actinopteri, Salmoniformes, Salmonidae. The record is from Ensembl.
GAGAAGAGAGAGAACACAGGUAGAGGAGAAGAAGAGAGAGAAACACAGGUAGAGGAGAAGAGGAGAGAGAACACAGGUAGAGAAGAGAGAGAACACAGGUAGAGGAGAAGAAGAGAGAGAACACAGGUAGAGUAGAAGAAGAGAGAGAACACAGGUAGAGGACUGGAGGACAGAGAACAGGUAGAGGAGUGGAGGACAGAGAACAGGUAGAGGACUGGAGGACAGAGAACAGUAGAGGAGUGGAGGACAGAGAACAGGUAGAGGAGUGGAGGACAGAGAACAGGUAGAGGACUGGAGGACAGAGAACAGGUAGAGGACUGGAGGACAGAGAACAGGACAGAGAACAGGUAGAGGACUGGAGGACAGAGAACAGGUAGAGGACUGGAGGACAGAGAACAGGUAGAGGACUGGAGGACAGAGAACAGGUGGAGGAGUGGAGGACAGAGAACAGGUGGAGGAGUGGAGGACAGAGAACAGGUAGGGAGUGGAGGACUGGAGGAGUGGAGGAGAACAGGUAGAGGACUGGAGGACAGAGAACAGGUAGAGGACUGGAGGACAGAGAACAGGUAGAGGAGUGGAGGACAGAGAACAGGUAGAGGACUGGAGGACAGAGAACAGGUAGAGGACUGGAGGACAGAGAACAGUAGAGGACUGGAGGACAGAGAACAGGUAGAGGAGUGGAGGACAGAGAACAGGUAGAGGACUGGAGGACAGAGAACAGAGAGGACUGGAGGACAGAGAACACUAGAGGACUGGAGGACAGAGAACAGGUAGAGGACUGGAGGACAGAGAACAGGUAGAGGACUGGAGGACAGAGAACAGUAGAGGACUGGAGGACAGAGAACAGCUGGAG